CCGCCUGCAGGAGCUCACCGCUUGCUGCCACCACGCUCCCACUGCCACCAGCACAGCCGUGCCCCCCAGCUGUUGGGGGCACGCACCAUUCAUGC
Long non-coding RNA from Gavialis gangeticus (Gharial), 95 nucleotides. RefSeq lists it as uncharacterized. The record is from RefSeq and is a predicted model, not a curated record. NCBI's taxonomy places the organism in Eukaryota, Metazoa, Chordata, Crocodylia, Gavialidae. The transcript has 3 exons.